CAAACAGAGGCCCAAAAAAUGGAACCUGUUGAUUUGAAAUGGAAAAACAAAUUUUAAAAACUGAUAAAAGUCAAAUCAAAGAUAUGAGAGUAGCUGACUGAUGUCAGACCUGCAAUGAGCACUUAAGCUGUCACCCACAGAGCAGACGCUGACCUUAACAGGACACAGGUCUAGGGCUUUCAAAUUGAGUGAAGCAGGACUGCCCCACAAUGCUCCUUUACUAGGGAUUCUUCAGCAAAACUUUCAAUGACAAAAUUUUACCAGGUUCUUCGUUUUUUCUCUUCUGUUGUCAUUUACAGAAAUGGUGUUGCUCUUAAGUGCCUACAUCAUGUGAAUUAUGCAUGAUACACAGACAUGCUUCACUGCACACUAUCCUUGCAUCUGUCUGAAACCAGUUAUGGAACUGGUAAUGUUCCUGCCAUGGGUCCUGAUGUAUAUUAACUCUUAAAGGAGAUGAUGAUGAUCCCUGUCAACAACUACAAAGUCCUACACAGUCCUCAUUCUUCUCGACCUUUUCCCCCUCUGCUUCCAAGAUACUGCAUUACCUUCAUUUCCUUCUACUUUUUUUUGAGACAGGGUCUCCUUCUCUCACCCAAACUGGAGUGUAGUGGCACAAUCAUAGCCCAUUGCAGCCUGGAACUUCUGGGCUCAAGCAUCCUCCCACCUCAGUCUCCUGAGUAGCUGGGAUUACAGUUGCACCACCACACCCAGCUUCUGUUUUUAAUAGAGACUGGCUUUUCUUAGCUGAACCCAUUUCUGUUAUGUGGAAAACUCACAAGUUUCUGUGCUUGCCUUUUUUGGAUUUAUUUCUUCUCUCUCCUUUUUCCCCCAUUAGAAUUUCUUUAAUUUUAUUCAGUAACAUGCAGAUUGUAAGUUCCAUGAGAUCACAAUUCUUACAUGAGCUCCAUGAGAUCAUGUAACUCUUAUAUUCAUUCACUUAUUACUCCCCUAUUCAUGUAUUCAGAAAAUAUUUAUUAUGUGUUGGACACUGUUCUACUCACUGCAGAAACAACAGUGAAUAGUACAAAAAUCCCUGAAUUUAUUGAGCUUGGAAUUUAUUGGAGAUUUUAGAGAAUAAACAGUAUAAACAUAUAAAAUAUAUGACAGGCAGGAAAAGUGCUAAGGUAAAAAUAAAGCAGGGAAGAGCAAUAUAACUUUAUUUUUGGGAGGGGUCUCCAGUUGGCUCUAAUGGCCAGGGUGGGCUUUAAGAAGAGGAUGACAUUUCAGUAAAGGCCUAAAGAAAGUGAUGAAUGAACCACAAGCUAUGAGAACAUCUAACGGAAGAACAUUCCAGGCAGAGUAACAGCACAGGCCUUGUGGUGGGAGUAGAAUUAGUAUGUUUAAGCAACCAUGGCUGGGGCCAAGCGAGAAAAAGGAAGAAUUAAGAGCUAAAGUCAAGCAGGUCACAAGGGGUGCUUUAUAGGAAGUUUUAAGGGUUCUGGAUUUCUGUUCUGAGUAAGAUCAAAUCCUCCUGAGGAUUUAGGGAAGCAGGGGAUAUGAUCUAAAAUACAUUUUAAAGGUAUUGUUUUGGCACCUGUGUUGACAAAACUGCAAAGGGGAAUUAUGGAGACUAGCUGGUGACUACUGAAUAAAGCAAGAGAUGGUGGUAAUGGCUUGGAUCAGAAUGGCAGCAGAAGUGGAGAAAGGUGACAGAUAUAUUUUGAAGGUAGAGUUGUCAGGAUUUGUUGAGGAUGGUUAAUGAGGUGGGAGAGACAGAGAGGUGUCAAGGAUGAUGCCACAGUUUCUGGCCUGGCCAUUGGAAGGCUGGAGCUACGUUUUCCUGAAAUGGAGAAGACUGAGAGGGAGGGUCAAUAGCUCAACUUCAGACAUGCUAAGUUAGAGAUGCCUACUGGGUAUCCAGUGAUGAUGUAUUGGGCAGGAGUAGCUAUACCAUGCUAGAGUCAGGGGAAAGGCCUAGGUUGAAGCUGUUCACUUAGAGAUGAUGUUUCUAGCCAUGAGAUCACAUAACAUCAACAAAAGAUCAAGAAAAGAGACUCAAUGACUAUAUCCUCUGGCCUUCCAAUGUUUAGAGCUUAGAGACAUGAGAAACAAUUAGAAAAGAAAGAGUGGCUGGAGAUGGAGCAAGAAAACCCCUUCUGAGUAGCACUGUACCUGACACACAAUUGGAAGGCAAAUACCUGCUAAAUGAGUUACAUUCAUUAAUAUUUUAAAUAAUUUAAAUUAAUGAAUGUGGGUCUCCAUCCUAGGUCUUUAAACUUUUCUCAAAAACUAUUUAUUUGUAAAGCCCCUUUUCUGUGGUUGGCAUUGGUGAAGGUGCUUGGGAUACAAUAAUGAAGGAGAGACUGUCUCUGCCCAUAAAGAGCUGACAUGGUAAGAAAACUAUGGACUAAUAUCUCUCAGCAAUGAUGCAAAAAUCCUUUAUAAUUUUUUUGUAAAUUAAACCCAGCAAGAUAAAAAAGGACAAUAUAUCUUAUCAAGCAGAAUUUUCCAUUGGAACUCAAGGUUCAUUUAACAUUCAUAAAUCCAUCAGUGCAAUUUAUUUUUGCAAUGUGCAAAAAUCCACAUUGACAAAAUACAGAAUAAAAACCAUAUGACUUUAACAGACACAGAACAAGCAUUAAAUAAAAUUUAACUCUCACUCAUAAUUAGAAAAACAAAACAGAACAAAAACUCUCAGCAAACCAGGAAUAGAAGGGAAAUGCCUCAAUUUAAUGAGAGCUUAAAGGGGGAAAAAGGUGUCAUAAUUAAUGAUGAAAGAUUAAGUAUUUUCUAAAAGAGAUCUGAAAAGGCAAGGAUGUCUAUGUUCACCUCUUCUACUCAACAUUUUUGAAGAUCCUAGUCACUACAAUAAAGAAAAUUAAGAGAAAGAAAGAAGAAGGGUAGGGGAGAAGAGGGGAACAUAAAGGUUAGAAAGAAGUAAAACUGUUUUUAUUCACAGAUAUCAUGAUUAUGUAUAUGAAAAGUCCAAAGAAUUUAACUAGAAUUAGUGAGUGAAUUUUGAUAAGCCUCAGAAAACAAUAUACUCCUCAAAUCAGUUAUAUUUCUGAAUGUUAGCAACCAACAAUUGGGAAAAGACAUGUAAAAAUGUUGUUUAUAACUGCAUCAAAACAGAAUGAAUUUGAUAAAAGAAUGUGCAAGACAUCUAUAUUGAAAACUACCAAACAGUGAUGAGAUAAAUUAAAGACAAGCUAAAUAAAUGGAAAGAUGUACAAUGUUCAUGGACUGGAAGUUUCAAUAUUGUUAAGAUGUCAAUUCUGCUAACAUUAAGCUAUAGAUUCAACAAAACCCAAUCAAAAUUCUGGCAAGCCUUUAAAAAAUAUACAUGUACCGAAUACUUCUAAGUUCAUAAGGAAAUGAAAAGACAUAAAUUAGUCAAGAUGAUAAUAAGAAGACUUAUAUUACCUAAUUUCAUGGCACACUAUAAAAAUAUAAUAAUUAAGAAAUCAUUAUAGUGGUACCAGGAUAAACAAAUAUUUCAAUAAAACACAAUACAGAGUCCAAGAAUAGAGCCAUACCUACAUGGUAAUUGAUUUGCAAUAAAGGCAGCAUAUCAGUUUGGUGGAAGAAAAAAGCCUGUUUCAAUAAAGACACUGGAACAACUGGAGAGCCAUAUGGAAAAGUGAACCUUGACCUUCAUCUCAUAUCACACACAAAAAUUGAGAGGGUUAUAGACUGAAAUAUUAAAGCUAAAACCAUAAAGCCUCCAGAAAAAAAAUAUGACAAAAUUGCCACGACCUUAGGAUAGGCAAGGAUUUUUUAGGGUACAAAAGGCAUAAAUCAUAAAAUAAAUAAAUAAAUAAAUAAAUAAAUAAAUAAAUAAAUAAAUAAAAGAAAAUACAUUGGACUAUAUAGAAAUUUCUAAAACUCUGCCCAUCACAAAAAUGAAAAGGCAAGUUAUAUAUAGUCACCAAACAGAACAUAGCCACAAGGUCCAUCCAGAGGAGAACAAAUUAAAAGUUUGUGUUAUAUUCACCCAACAGAAUAUUCCACAGUAACGAAAAUGAACAAACCACAACUACAUGUAACAUCAUGAAAAUAAUCCAAAUAUAAUGACAAGUGAAAGAAACAGACACUAAAAAGUUCAUACUACAUAAUUUCAUUCCUAAAAGUUCAAAACCAAGUAAAAUGAAUCAAUAGGCCCAAAAGUCAGAAUAGUGGCCACUUCUUCAUUGUAUUAGUGAUUGAGAUGGGGCACGAGCAAGAAUUAGGAGGCUGGCAACAUCCUCUAUUUUGAUCUGGGGUGGUAUUACACAAGUGUGUUCACUUUGAAAACAUCCAUCAUGUUGUAUACUUACAAUUUGUGUCCUUUUCAAUAUUAAAUAUAUUUCCAAGGAAACGUUUUCCAGAAAACAGCAAGAAUACAGAGGAUUUGAACAAGACAACUAACAAACUCAUCAUAAUGGAAACAUAAAAUACUCUACCCAACAACUGCAGAAAACACAUUCAUUUCAAGCAUGUACAGAAUACUUUUUAAAAAGUGACCAUAUCCUCAGCCAAGGAUCCACAAAUACAGCCUGCAGGGCCUAAUUCCAACCUGGCACCUACUUGUGUAUGGCCUGCAAGCUAAGAAUGCUUUUUACUUUGUAAACAGUUGGAAAAAAAUUAAAAGAGUAUUUUACUAUGUGAAAAUUAUGAGAUCUAAAUUUCAGUUCAUAAAUAAAUUUUAAUGGAACACAGCCACACUUAUCCACUUACACAUUUUCUUUUUUUGGAGACAGAGUCUCACUCUGUUGCUUAGGCUAGAGUGCAGUGGCUCAAUCUUGGCUCACAGCAACCUCCGCCUCCCCGGUUCAAGCAAUUCUAGUGCCUCAGCCUCCCAAGUAGCUCAGACUAUAGGCCUGUGCCACCAAGCCCAGCUAAUUUUUUUGUACUUUUAGUAGAGACGGGGUUUCACCAUGUUGGCCUGGCUGGUCUCGACUUCCUGGCCUCAAGUGAUCCAUGCACCUCAGCCUCCCACAGUGCUGGGAUAAUAGGCAUGAGCCACUGUGCCCGGCCCACUUACACAUUUUCUAUGGCUACUUUUGCACAAUAAUGACACAGUUAUUUAGUUGUGACAGACCCAAGGCCUAAAAUAUUUACUAUCUGGCCCUUUACAAAAAAUGUUUGCUGGCCUCUCUUCUAGGUUAUAAAGCAAAUCUCAAUAAAUUUCUAGGGGUGGAAAUUUUACAAUCCAUAUUCUGUGCCUAAAAAGCUAUUGACAACAAACAACAACAAAAGGAUAAUUGGCACAAACCUCUAUGUUUAGAAAUUAAGAAAUACACUUCUAAAUAACUCAUGGGUCAACAAAAUAUUGAAAUGGAAAUUUAGCAAUAUGUUAAGCUAACUGAUAAAAUAAGACUAGUAGAUAUUAUAACUUAUACCUUAUAGCAGUACUUACAGGGACCGUGUAGAAUGAAAUGCUCAUAUUAGAAAGAAAUAAAGACUGCAACAUAAUGAGAUAGGCACCCAUCUCAAGAAGUACUGAAAAACCAAAAGAAUCAAACAAAUUCAAAGAAAGUAGAAGGAAAGAACUAAUAAAGAUAAAAGUCAUCAUUUAAAAAUAGAAAACAAACAUACAAUAAAAAGGAGAACCAAGAUCGACAGUUAGUUCUUUAAGGAACCAUAAAGAAAAAAAAAAAAUCAUGUCCUUUGCAGCAACAUGGAUGCAGCUGGAGGCCAUUAUCCUAAGCAAAUUAACAUAGGAACAGAAAACCAAAUACCGCAUGUUCUCACUUAUAAGUGGGAGCUAAACAUUGAGUACUCAUGGACAUAAAGAUAACAACAAAAAUUGUAUAAAAAGAUGGCAACAACAGAAACUGGGAACUACCAGAAGGGGGAGGGAGGGGAGCAAGGGUCGAAAAAUUAACUAUUGGGUAGUUAGUACUAAGCUCAGUACCUGGGUGACAGGACCAUUCAUACCCCAAACCUCAGCAUCAUGCAAUAUACCCAGGUAACAAACCUGCACAUGUACUCCUGGAAUCUAAAAUAAAAGUUGAAAAAAAAAAGUUCGUUCUUUGAAAAAAGUCUAAUACAAUUGACAGGUCUUUGGCAAGGUGAAUCAAGAAAAAAAAAGCACAACUAAAUAAUAUUAGAAACAAAAAGGAAUCCAACUAUAGAUACUUAGAAAAUAUACGUAGCUUUAUGCCUAUAAAUUUGAAAGUUUAGAUGAAAUGGCCAAAUGAGAAAAAAAAUACAAUUUAGCAAACACAGACACAAGAUGAUAUAUAAAAGCUAUAAUUCUAUGAGCUUUAAAGUAGAUGAAUCAUAGUAGAAAAAAACAUUCUAACAAGGAAAAGCCAGCUCAGAAGCCUUCACUGGCAAAUUCUAUAAAAUCUUCGAAUAACCAUAUUCAAAAUAAUAAAAUUCAAAUAAAAUCUUCGAAAGAACAAAUAACUAUUAUUUUGGAGAAACUUCCAUAGUAUAGGAAAACAGAAAAUAUACUCAUUUUAUUAGGCUAGUACAAUCUUAAUACCAAAAUGAGGGGCCAAUCUCACUUAUGAACAUGCAUACAAAAACCCUAACAAAAUAUCAGCAAGCCAAUUCCAUAAUGUGCAAAAAUAACAAUAUCAUGACCAAGUCGGGUAUAUCCCAAGAAUACAAUUUUCAGUAAAAAUCAGUCUGUAUACAACCACAUUAAUAGAUUGAAUGAGAAAAGUCAGGUAAUCACCUCAAAAGACAUUUAAACAAGUGUUUAAUAAAAUCCAAAAUCCAGUUAAGGAAAAAAUUCUUAGCAAUCCUGGAAUAGAAGGGAUCUUCCUUAAUCUGUUCUAGAAUACCUACAGAAUUCCAGAGCAACCACUAAAUGGUGAAACAUUGAGAACUUGAUGUGGGAGACUGUGAAGGAGAAAAGAAAUGUCCCCCUACAUCACAUCUACCAACAUUUGCACUGGAGAUCCUUGCCAAUACAGUAAUGCAAGACACAAAUAGAGGACUAUGAAUUAGAAAGGAAGAAAAACUGUCAUUUUUUUAGAUGGUAUAACUGUACUCACAGAAUCUCCAACAUAAUCUAUGGCAAAUGGUCAGAAUUAGUAAGAGUGUUUAUCAAAGUCAAUGGAUACAGAAUACAUUCACCAAAAAUCCAAAUGCAUUCCUCUCCACCAGCAACAAAUGGUUAGAAAAGGAAAUAUUAUUUACAACAGCAUAAAAAUAUAAAAUAGAUCUAACAAGGAAAGUAUAAAGAAAGUUACAAAACUUUAUUCAGAGAUGUUAGUUUAAAUAAAUGAAAUGAUAGAUGUGUUCUUGGACUAGAAGACUCAAUAUUGUUGUGACUUUCCUUCCUAGACUGACCUAUGGAUUUAAUGCAUGGCAUGUAUGUAUCUUGACUAGCUGAUUCUAAGACAUUUGUAGAAAUGAAAUUGGCUAAAAAAAGCCAAAGAAGAACUGGGUAGGGACUUGCCUUACAGCAAGAUAUAUCCCAACCUGUGGUAAGAAAUACAGUAUGAGUAAGGCACACGGGACCAGUGGAGUUACAGGAGGGCCUACCCACACAGCCUCCUGCCUGUUUGAUGACUGCUGAAAAUCAUUCACCAAGCUAAGUGGGAUAUAUUACCCCAUGAGUUGGGGAUGCUGACCCAUAAGGUAUGGUAUGUCCUUUUUUCCUAUCCCUAUGAUGAUAGUCUCUGACUUUAGUUUUAGUACUUAAGGAGUACUUUAGUACUUAAGUACUUCCUAGAAGAAGAUACAGUGUUCUCAGUGGGAAGAGGAAACUGAUGGUCAGGUAUUUUAGGCUCCACAGACCACUGGACACUGAGGCAGUAAAGGAGGCUCCAGGAUAGACAGGGUGAGUGGUCCUGCCAGGGAAAACAGUGCUGCUGCUGUACAAAGCGGAUGCGGAAGGGUUCUCAUGGAGCACUCACUCCUGAUCCCAUGCUCAAUGGUAAAUUUAAUGGAAGACAACAUCAAGUAUCAGUCCUAAUCAGAACCUUAUAGCAGUAUUUCAUCCUGCUGAGCAUGUAUAUUUCACAACCACCUAAAGUUUCUGAGUGACUCAUAAGUGCCCUCUCCUAACAUGAUGACCAAAGCCUGGGGAUUAAUAAGAUUUUCCAUGACUGCUGACAAACUGGAUUUCCUUACCACCUGCAGAUUAGGAGCUGCUUGUGGAGCCCCUAUCAUGUGUUCCUUGACUAAAGAAGUACAGUGCUCAGGGGAGGCACACACCUAGAAGGUGCAGCCCAAAUUAAUUUCUUUCUCAGGUUUGGGUCCAGAUGAAGACACUUCAUAUCCAGGGACUCUUCUUGGCAAGAUACUGUGAAAGCAAAGAGAGCCUUUUGCAGCAAAGUGAUAACGCUGAAGUCCACGUGGCAACACUAGCCAGCAUGCCAGCACAAGGAAGUGCCCAGUUGUUGGAGCAAAGACAAAAAAGAAUCCUUAGGACACAGAAAAUGAUCUGAAAUACCCAUUUGAUUUGUGGGGAUGGGGAUUAAUCUUUCAAGGAUGCAAUGCAGACAUCUUGAUGGUCCAAAGCAGGGCAAUGAACAACUGAACUCUGUUCCAAUUCCUCACAGAUAACCUCCAGCCUCCAGGAUUGGAAUAUUGCCAUGGAUGGGCCUACCGAGAGGCAGGCCACAUUGAAAAUGACAAAUGAAGAAUGUGCGUGGCUUAACUUACCCAGUUUGGUCAGUUAUUCAUUCUGCUAAAAAACUGCAAGUAUUGUGUUCAUAACAAUGAUAUGGCUGUGAUUUCUGUGUCCAGAUUUUUGGCACUGCCUUUAUCAUGCAAGAAGUGGGUAACUUAAUACAAAGGUCUAGAAUUCAAAUUUCUCCUUGACUUCACACAUAUACCUAUAAUGUGAACACAGGAUGUGUACACAGAAUAUAAAAAGCAUCUGCAUACAGGUGUGAAAACUGAUACCUCUCUACUCUUAAAGAGAUUCAGUCUACUGGGAUUUAGGAUGCUGGACUUGGUGCCAGAAUCAAGUACUCUUGGAUAAAUUCUUUAUGCUCUUAUCAACUACAUACAUAUUUGGAGCACAAGGGCAGUGUUGUCUGCCCUGUGGGCCUCACAGAGUGACUAAAAGGUUCAAAUGCCCUACCAACCCCGAAAGCGUGUUGCAAAUAGUACUGUCCUAAUGAGAGGCAAGGUAAAAAAAAACCAAACAAUUUUGAGAUAUAUGUAAAAACCUUAAGAGAAAUGUAAGGUAUAUUUCUGAGAAACAGAAUUUUUAUUUUCCUACAUUCCUAUCUCUGUAUAAUAUAAAUACAUUCUCUAAAAUACCAGAAGAUAGCUUUUGGGAAAAAUGAAUACUCAGAAGACUCUAAAACUUUGUCUGAAAAUUCUAAAGACUACAGUGAAUCUUUCUGUGUCAAAAGGGGCAGAGAUUUCAUGUACCAUCUGUUUAUUUGCAUCAUUUGAUCAAAGUUCUGUUAAGGGCUGUGGGGGAAUACAGAUAUGAACAAGUCGAGGCUCUGAACUGUAGGUAGUUUGCAGAAGAGGUAAAACAAUGUAUUCAAGAAGGCAAAAGGGAAAAAAAGCUUUAGGGUGGACGCAGAUAAAAUAUUCUGAAGCUACAGAGAGUUCUUUUCUAGCUGAGAGAAGCCAUGGAAGUCUUCAUGUAGGAAGUGGUCAUGACAGUGGGUGUUGGCAGAGAUUCACGGUGGGAAGAGCGGAGCACUCCAGACAAAUGGUAAAAAUAGGAAUGAAAAGAUGAGGUGGGUCUGGCUCUCUUUUCUAGCGCAGGGUUCCCCAAAGUGCACUUUAAGAGAUACUAAUUUAGCUGAGUGCUAGCUGGUUUGUAUGAAUGCUGUGCCUACAGUUAAUGAUUAAAGUAUUACAGAUAAAUAAACAGAAAGACUGUGGACAGAACAUGGCAAAGGACUGCACAGAGCUCCUGAGGGAUUCCUGAGAGCAAAGUGAAGUCAGAGGUAGGGCCACAAAAGGAAGUGAGGCAGGCAUAGAAGCCUAGACUGGAUUUGAGAAGGAUGGAAAGCUCUGGAAUAGGUAUGUACGGAAAUGCAUACAGAUAAGAGAAAAGGCUGAAGAACAGGUAUGGGAAGCCAGAUGAUAUGGGACUUGAUGAAAUGCCCUGCAGAAAUUACCAGCUUGCUCUCAAGACUCUGCACUGCUGUACUUGCCUACUCCUGCUCAUCUACCCACAUCAUGUCCUGGUCAUCCAAAUGAAAGCAACACAGAGCACCAGGAGAGCCUCACCUACAAACCAGGGCAGCUAAGAAUGGUGCCCGAGGAGACCCCUUACCUUUUUGGUGAGGGAAUCAUCUGAGUCUGACGGCAUUCGAGUGGAAACAUGGAAAAUCACUUCCACAGUUGAGGUAGCAUAGUAAGGGGCCGUCUGCCCGGUGCUGCCAUUGCGCUGAAGGCCACCCAUGAACCCACAGUGGGUGGAGAGAUCCACCUGACAAAGGUCACAAAGAAGAAAGAGUGAGGAUCAAAAAUGAGCUGCUCUUUCACUAAGCAGGACUGUGAAUUCAGAAAAAAAAUAAAUUAUUUUCGUUUUUAUAUCUUUCUUUCUGAUUACAAACAAAUGUAAUACAAAGUUAGACCAGAUUAAAAUGUUAAAGAAAUAAAAAACAUUAAAAAUGAAAGUGCUCUACAAUCAUAUCAACUGAAUAAAACCACUACCAAACUUUUGGUAUAUAAUCUCUAACUUUUUUCCCACCUGUAUGUAUAAAUGUAUGUGUAUAUAUGCAUAUAUGUGUGUGUAUACAUAGGUUCCCUAUUGAUGGAUUUUGGGGGUUUCUGCUUUUUCAAAACAGAAAGCACACUCAAAGGAGUGUUUUUCUAAGAUGUUGGGUCAAAAGGUACCAAUAUUAAAAAUAUUUAGCAAUCCUUGCUAAACUGCCUUUCAAAAGGGUUGAACAACCACUUUACACCACUGCCGAAAGUUUAUGAGUCAUAAUUCAAAGUUACGGCAUGAGUGUUCACUUCUUAGUGCCUUUAUCCAAAAUUUUUAACUUGUCAUAAACUAGUAUUCUUUCAGUAAAAUACCUAUUCUAACAUAUAUGAAAAAAGAAAUAGAAGAAUCUCUUCUGUGCCAAAUAGAGUAAACAUAUACUCUCAAAACUCUAAUUGAUAAUGUAUGGCUUAAAAAUAUAUUAAAUAACAACUAUAUUCUAUGACAAAUUAGAAGUAGCCUUACUAGUGAGAACAAUGAUUUACUGGAAGUACAGUAACUGUUAGACUCAAACCUACUUGCCUUCUUAGUAAGGAUGUCGUUUUGACUCUGAUGUACUCUUACCCUGUUUCCAUCCCUGCCUUAGUCCCCUUGCUAGCACUGAGCUCUCAAAGGCACCCAGAGAGUUUUUCAGAGCACAGGUACUCAAGAAACUAAUAAAAAAUAAGGAAAUUGGCCGGGCAAUCCCAGCACUUUGGGAGGCCGAGGCAGGUGAAUCACGAGGUUAAGAGAUCAAGACCAUCGUGGCCAACAUGGUGAAACACCAUCUCUACUAAAAAUACAAAAAAAAAUCAGCUGGGUGUGGCGGCGCGUGCCUGUAGUCCCAGCUACUUGGGAGGCUGAGGCAGGAGAAUUGCUGGAACCCGGGAGGUGGAGGUUGCAGUGAGCCGAGAUUGUGCGACUGCACUCCAGCCUGGUGAAAGAGCAAGACUCUGUCUAAGAAAAGACAAAAAAAAAAGAAAAAAAGAAGUAAAUUAUUUUAGAUAUGUUGAUUUCCAUUUUAACUACUCCUAAUUCUUUCAGAUUCUAGGAAUUUUUUUUUUAGGUUUAUGUUUUUUGGGGAAAGGUGUGUAUGUGUGUAUAAAUGUAUAUAUGUCUGUAUGUCAGAGUACCAUUUAAUAAAGAAAAAAUAAACUUUUUCAACAUCAAUCAUCCUGAAAUCUACCUUAGGGAAAUAGGUUGAUAGCUAAACCAUCAUGGCUAUUAUAUUAUAUUUUCAUUGCAACUUUUGACUUCAUCCAACUCUUUCUUCAUCUUUUCACCCAUCAAGUCAUUGACUUCUUCUUCAAUCUCCAUACUGUGGCCAAAGCCAUUGCUUCUCUGCCCACAUUUGUCUUCUCUUACUACAAACUGUCUAUGUCUGGGAGAGCCCAUCUGACUAUUCAGUUCUGAUAAAAAGCAAAUGAAAAAAUAUUAAGAGGAAAGUUAAAGGAAAACAAAAGUUCAUGUAUUAAAUACUGACAAGCAACUAACAGAUGUCAAAUCCAAUAAAUUCUUCAAUUCCAGAACUCUAUCUAUGCUAUAUUUGAAUGCAAAAGCACAUGUAAAAACUUACACAAUGUCUAGUUUGGACACAUCUUUAAACAGUGCUGGUCAAUAAACACCUACUGAAUGAAAUGCAUUACCUCCCAUCCAAGUCCAGCAACAAAGUCUUCAUAUGCUUGGCUUCCUCUUUCAUUAGAGAGGAUUGAACACUUGUCUUCUUGACCUUCAGCAAUGUAAAACACUGCGAUUUUGUGUGUCUCACGGCUAUAAAUUUUUAAAUUUAAAGGAGUUAGAAUUCUUAUAUGUAAAAUUUUACUUCACUACUAUUAAUACCACCAGCAUGACUUCUACCACUGAGCUUACAUUUACUGAGAACCUGCUAGAGGUCAGUCAGUGUUCUGAGAUGGUCUGACACAUAGUCUCAUUUAUUCUUCAAAACCAUGCUAAAGAGAUGAGUAUUAUUAUCACCUCCCUAGUAGAGGUGGUUGAAAGGAGGCACAGAAAGUGAAACAAAAAGCACAUCCAGCAAGCUGGGGAUGGGAACUGUCGCAAGGCCAUCUGCUUCCUGAGACCAUACCCUCAGACAUAAGAUACACCGACCAGAAGGCUGGGGCACACCAUUUGGUAAGUUCUCUGUUUUUGGUAAAAAAAUAUCUUUUAAAGUAUUUCAAAUACAUAUAAAUUGUGAAUAGAUCUAUGUGACUGUCCAUAUUUAACUCUACACUUUAAGGCUACUGGGUGGCUCUGUGAUUGGAACUAUAAAAUAUGCCACGAUUUUAUGAGAAAAAGAAGAUCCUUCCAAGCGAACACACUUAGGUAUUUUCUUCAUGAAGGGGUUUACCAACUUCUGUACUCUGACUAUUCUGAGGGUGCCUGACAGGGUGGAUAGCUAUUUAGUGGAACCCCUUUUAGCCAUAUAAACCCUUCAUCUGCUUGUUCCAACAUAGAUCUUGGAUACUCUGGUAUCAAAUCAAGCAAAAGUGAUGUGUACUUUGAAAAAAGAAGCCCUGCCAUUUUCUCUUUUGCACAUCUAGCAUACUGCUUUGCAUAUAGUAGGUGUUCAGUUAAGUCUCUGUUACACUGAGCAGAUAUAUGGUGAUACAUUUGAAUGCAUUAAUAAUAAAUUUCUACAAAUUAUACCCUGGAGUAAAGCGACAAAAUACCUGGGCCUAGACCAAGCAUUUGGUGAUAGUUUAGAGAUGAAACACUGUUCUUAUUCAAACGGAGCUUUGAUUACGAAUCAUUCAUUCCCUAGCCCAAUCACCCAAGAGUUUUGGUUUUUUUAAAGUUUCGAUGUCCACUUCCAGAGCGGUUCCAACUUUCUCCUUUUUUUGCACUACAUUCUGAUAAAUCUCAUAGGAAUAACUGUCAAGUUCUUAAAUACAGAAAUAUUUUUUCUGUCAAAUUUAAUAUUUAAUUUUUUAAUAUUUGUUUAGUAUUUCAACAUUGUAAUUUGAUUAGAUAUUGUAUUGGUAGAACUGAGUUCCAUAUUUUAACAAAUUAUCUAAGAUUUCCUUCUGUGUGAGUUAUUUCUCUACUUAAUAAUCAGAACUAACUGAUUCUCAAUUAAAAAGUCAUACAAAUAACUGGAGGAAGAGAGUUCUCUCCUUUUACUCAGCUUAUUCACUUCCCCUAUGGUUUAUAUGCAAUAAACAUACUUGGAAGAAGAAUUAGAAAAUACAGAAAGAAAAGAGAAGAAUAAAAAUCACUUGCAGUUUCAACGGAUAAGCAAAGAACAUAGCCGUUACACCAUUUUAGGAUACACUUUUGCAUGCACAUAUGAGAAGCUACUACAUUCUGUUUUACAACAGAUUUUUUCACUUAAAAUAUUUGUGAACACUUUUUUAUUGUGGUAAAAUAUACAUAUCAUAAAAUUCACCAUUUCAACCAUUUUUUUAGUGUGAACACUUUUAUAUCAUGUGCUUCUACAACAGAGGUUUAAUGAUUGUAACAACAUUCCAUUAUAUUAAUAUGUCAUGGCCCAAAUCUUCAUUUAGGUUGCUUUCAUUUUAAAAGACAUUUUCACGUUAUCUUUAAUACAUCCUUAAAGAUAAUCUUUAAUGUUUUUAAUCUUUUCACAAUAUCUUUUUUUGAGAUAGUCUCACUUCGUCACCCAGGCUGGAGUGCAAUGGCGUGAUCUUGGAUCACUGCAACCUCCACCUCCUGUGUUCCAGUGAUUCUCGUGCCUCAGCCGUCCCAGUAGCUGGGACUACAGGUGCAUGCUACCACACACCACCACACCUGGCUAAUUUUUUUUAUUAUUUUUAGUAGAGACAGGGUUUCGCCAUGUUGGCCAGGCUGAUCUCAAACUCCUGAUCUCAGGUGAUCCACCUGCCUUGGCCUCCCAAAGUGUUGGCUUUAUAGGGUUGAGCACCAUGCCCAGCCCCAAUAUCUCUAAUAUGUCCUUAAAAUAAAUUUAGAAAACUUGUCCUCAUGCAGCAGGAAGCCCUGAAAGUGCCACACCAUUCACUGCCCUGAGCAACAGGCAGGGGACACCAAUGGCGUAGAAUCUAACUAGCCUAUUCCAAGAGCUAUAAAAAUUUGGGCACUUGGAUAAUAACAGAAACCAUAACCUAUGACCUAAAAGACUGUCUCUUUCAACAAAAGUGGAGAAGUAUAGUUAUUCAGUUUUUAUCUGAAGGUCUCUCUACAUAUGUAAAAACUCCUCAGCAUUUAAUUUUUCUUUGUUUUAUAGACUUUACAUACAUAAAAACAGCCUCAGGUUUAUCUACAAUGUUUCAGUUUAUUCUCCU
RNAcentral lists this long non-coding RNA (14805 nucleotides) under Homo sapiens (human). RNAcentral's name for it is "HSALNT0265194". The record is from RNAcentral. Lineage: Eukaryota; Metazoa; Chordata; Mammalia; Primates; Hominidae.